This 76-nucleotide small RNA is filed under the name Flavobacteriaceae bacterium 3519-10. RNAcentral's name for it is "Flavo-1 RNA". It matches the Rfam family "Flavo-1 RNA". The record is from Rfam by way of RNAcentral. Lineage: Bacteria; Pseudomonadati; Bacteroidota; Flavobacteriia; Flavobacteriales; Flavobacteriaceae.
UUUUAGCCCCGAUUGCAGCGGCAUCCUUUUGCGGAACGCAGUGUAGCAAAAGAUAUAGCGGAAAGCGGGGAAGUGU